Molecule: long non-coding RNA, 1038 nt
Organism: Bos taurus (domestic cattle)
Lineage: Eukaryota; Metazoa; Chordata; Mammalia; Artiodactyla; Bovidae
Source: Ensembl
GAUGCAGUUGUGCAGCCGUCUAGAAUCUGUAUCUCUAAAUAUCUGGUUUAUAUCUUUUAAAUGUCUUAAUGUAAUUAAAUGUAACAUUAACAGUAAAACUUGGUGUAACAGUGUAACUAAUUAACAUUAAAAGUUAAUAUUCUCAGUGCUUUCCAGGAGCCAGGAAGAGAAUGGGGAGUGAAUUGUCUGAUUGACAAGUACAGGGUUUUCUUUUGAGGUGAUGGAAACAAUUUUAUAACUUGAUAUAGGUGGUGAUUGCAUACCAUUGUAAACUUACUAAAUGACAAUGAAUUUUACACUUUAAAAUAGUUAUUUUUAUGUUGGGAGAAUUUCACAUCAAUUGGAAAAAUGCCUUACGCACAUAUAAGAAGCAGAAUUGUGUCAGGGUCUUGAAAAGGACCAAAUUACCAUACGAAUUAAGGAAAAGUCUUCCCUCUUCGGAGUGCUUUCAGGUAUAUUUAUCCAUUUGAGACUCAAAGCUUAAAAAUUCUUUGCUAUUUAAGAUAUUUUUAAUUAAUUUUUAAAAUCAAUUAAUUUACUUAGCCACAUUGGGUCUUAGUUUUGAUGGCAGGAUCUUCACUGGGUCAUGCAGGAUCUUUGAUUUAGAUGCACAGACUCUCAAGUUAGGGCAGUUGAGCUCAGUAGGUACUUCCCAUUUUAUAGGAUCUUAGUUCCCUGACUAGGGAUUGUACCCAAGUCCUGCAUUGCAAGGCAGAUUGUUAACCACUGGACUAUCAGGGAAGUCCCAAGAUAUUUUUAAUUAACUUUUUAAAAAUUUUGGCUGUACUAGUCUUCCUUGUGGUGAGCGGGGGCUUAGUUGCCCUGCAGCGUGUGUGCAUGUGUGGUCAGUUGCUCAGUCUGUCCAUCUGACUCUUUGCAACCCCUGUGUCAUUGGAAAAUGGAUUCUUAACCACUGGACCCCCAAGGAGGUCCCUCUAAUUAUGUGGUUAGAUUGUUUAAGUUUAAAAAAAAAAAGUUUUUUAAAGAUGGUAAUAUUCCUGCUUGUUUUUAUUUUGUUACUUACACUACUUUCACCCC